This 323-nucleotide ribosomal RNA is filed under the name uncultured Prevotella sp. RNAcentral describes it as "bacterial SSU rRNA". It matches the Rfam family "Bacterial small subunit ribosomal RNA", at positions 355 to 675 of the family's 1533-position model. Lineage: Bacteria; Pseudomonadati; Bacteroidota; Bacteroidia; Bacteroidales; Prevotellaceae. The record is from RNAcentral.
UGAGGAAUAUUGGUCAAUGGGCGAGAGCCUGAACCAGCCAAGUAGCGUGCGGGAUGAAGGCCCUAUGGGUUGUAAACCGCUUUUACAGGGGGAUAAAGUGAGUCACGUGUGAUUCAUUGCAGGUACCCUGCGAAUAAGGACCGGCUAAUUCCGUGCCAGCAGCCGCGGUAAUACGGAAGGUCCGGGCGUUAUCCGGAUUUAUUGGGUUUAAAGGGAGCACAGGCCGGCUGUCAAGCGUGUUGUGAAAUGUAGGGGCUCAACCUCUGAACUGCAGCGCGAACUGACGGUCUUGAGUGCGCACAACGUUGGCGGAAUUCGUCGUG